Long non-coding RNA from Alligator sinensis (Chinese alligator), 1129 nucleotides. RefSeq lists it as uncharacterized. The record is from RefSeq and is a predicted model, not a curated record. NCBI's taxonomy places the organism in Eukaryota, Metazoa, Chordata, Crocodylia, Alligatoridae. The transcript is spliced from 4 exons.
ACUUUAUAGGCCACAAAAUCUGGUGUUGGGCCCCAGCCUGAGAGAGAUUUGCAGUCCUUACAGACUCUCUACAAGAAGCCUAGGGGCAUAAAGCAGAACCCAGGGAAAAGAGUCAUCUUUACACAGAAAAGACAGCCCAGUCUUAAGGAAGUGCUGUGAUGGGGUUGGUCUGCUACUAACCCUGCACCGGACAAAAAGAGUUAAGGAGUUGCUGCAGUCCUGAGCAGCCCCGCUUGAUCACACCUGCAAGGCAUAGCAGGACUGGAGGAAGAAUUCAAAUGAGAAGCAGCUCAGUUUGAUAAGAAGCAGCUGUGUAUUUCCUAGGGGAGGAGAGCUGUCUGAGGGUAGGACUUGCUUGUAGUGCUGGGGAGUGUCUGAACUGUCUGAGGUGAAGGUGUUCCUGCAACGUGACCUCAGGCCACUUGCUGGAGCACUCUAAAACUGGGCUCUUCUGGGAUGUUCUCUGCAAGCAACUUGAAAGUGUCAAAGUUACUGCAAGGAAGUAGAGGCUGGUGGAAGCUGUUGUCCUGAGAUCAGAGGUGUGCACUUUGCUACUUGUGCAGGGAGCCCAGGCACCCAAUGUGGGGUUUUGGACUGAUGUCUGAGGGCCUACAAAUUGGGAGCUGCAAGCUUUAACAUGUGGGCAGGGCUCCGGAUGUCAGACGAGGAACACCGACAAGAGAAGCCCGUGAGGUUUGUAAGCUGUGCCUAUACACAGCUGGGGCCGGCAGGUGACGUCGCAGACUAUCACUGGCCGGCCAGGAUAAAAGCCGAUGCCAGCUGAGAGCAGGGGAGAGCGGGAGAGGCAGCGGAGGUUGCGGAUGCUCUCCAUGUUGGCAGCAGUCAGCGCCGGCAAGGGCAGGGAAGCCCCGAUCGGGCAGGGAUUCCCAGGUAGUAGCGGCUGCAGGAAAACUCCACACUAGUCACAGGCAACACUGGUGUGAGGAAGAGACCCUGCUCUAGGAAGAGCAGGGAGAAGAACUGGAGAUGAUUGAUACUCUCCACACCAGGCACUAACAGACUGGGUUGUGGGAGAAGGACCAACUUAGAGAAAGAAGUAUAAGAAGCUCUCAGCAGGGAUAGAGAGCGGAGCAGCCUCGUGGGACACAGACAGGCGCAUGCUCUAGGA